ACUAAGCGUACACGGUGGAUGCCCUGGCAGUCAGAGGCGAUGAAGGACGUGCUAAUCUGCGAUAAGCGUCGGUGAGGUGAUAUGAACCGUUAUAACCGGCGAUUUCCGAAUGGGGAAACCCAGUGUGUUUCGACACACUAUCAUUAACUGAAUCCAUAGGUUAAUGAGGCGAACCGGGGGAACUGAAACAUCUAAGUACCCCGAGGAAAAGAAAUCAACCGAGAUUCCCCCAGUAGCGGCGAGCGAACGGGGAGGAGCCCAGAGCCUGAAUCAGUGUGUGUGUUAGUGGAAGCGUCUGGAAAGGCGCGCGAUACAGGGUGACAGCCCCGUACACAAAAAUGCACAUGCUGUGAGCUCGAUGAGUAGGGCGGGACACGUGGUAUCCUGUCUGAAUAUGGGGGGACCAUCCUCCAAGGCUAAAUACUCCUGACUGACCGAUAGUGAACCAGUACCGUGAGGGAAAGGCGAAAAGAACCCCGGCGAGGGGAGUGAAAAAGAACCUGAAACCGUGUACGUACAAGCAGUGGGAGCCUCUUAAUGGGGUGACUGCGUACCUUUUGUAUAAUGGGUCAGCGACUUAUAUUCUGUAGCAAGGUUAACCGAAUAGGGGAGCCGAAGGGAAACCGAGUCUUAACUGGGCGUUAAGUUGCAGGGUAUAGACCCGAAACCCGGUGAUCUAGCCAUGGGCAGGUUGAAGGUUGGGUAACACUAACUGGAGGACCGAACCGACUAAUGUUGAAAAAUUAGCGGAUGACUUGUGGCUGGGGGUGAAAGGCCAAUCAAACCGGGAGAUAGCUGGUUCUCCCCGAAAGCUAUUUAGGUAGCGCCUCGUGAAUUCAUCUCCGGGGGUAGAGCACUGUUUCGGCAAGGGGGUCAUCCCGACUUACCAACCCGAUGCAAACUGCGAAUACCGGAGAAUGUUAUCACGGGAGACACACGGCGGGUGCUAACGUCCGUCGUGAAGAGGGAAACAACCCAGACCGCCAGCUAAGGUCCCAAAGUCAUGGUUAAGUGGGAAACGAUGUGGGAAGGCCCAGACAGCCAGGAUGUUGGCUUAGAAGCAGCCAUCAUUUAAAGAAAGCGUAAUAGCUCACUGGUCGAGUCGGCCUGCGCGGAAGAUGUAACGGGGCUAAACCAUGCACCGAAGCUGCGGCAGCGACACUAUGUGUUGUUGGGUAGGGGAGCGUUCUGUAAGCCUGUGAAGGUGGCCUGUGAGGGUUGCUGGAGGUAUCAGAAGUGCGAAUGCUGACAUAAGUAACGAUAAAGCGGGUGAAAAGCCCGCUCGCCGGAAGACCAAGGGUUCCUGUCCAACGUUAAUCGGGGCAGGGUGAGUCGACCCCUAAGGCGAGGCCGAAAGGCGUAGUCGAUGGGAAACAGGUUAAUAUUCCUGUACUUGGUGUUACUGCGAAGGGGGGACGGAGAAGGCUAUGUUGGCCGGGCGACGGUUGUCCCGGUUUAAGCGUGUAGGCUGGUUUUCCAGGCAAAUCCGGAAAACCAAGGCUGAGGCGUGAUGACGAGGCACUACGGUGCUGAAGUGACAAAUGCCCUGCUUCCAGGAAAAGCCUCUAAGCAUCAGGUAACAUCAAAUCGUACCCCAAACCGACACAGGUGGUCAGGUAGAGAAUACCAAGGCGCUUGAGAGAACUCGGGUGAAGGAACUAGGCAAAAUGGUGCCGUAACUUCGGGAGAAGGCACGCUGAUAUGUAGGUGAAGCGACUUGCUCGUGGAGCUGAAAUCAGUCGAAGAUACCAGCUGGCUGCAACUGUUUAUUAAAAACACAGCACUGUGCAAACACGAAAGUGGACGUAUACGGUGUGACGCCUGCCCGGUGCCGGAAGGUUAAUUGAUGGGGUUAGCGGUAACGCGAAGCUCUUGAUCGAAGCCCCGGUAAACGGCGGCCGUAACUAUAACGGUCCUAAGGUAGCGAAAUUCCUUGUCGGGUAAGUUCCGACCUGCACGAAUGGCGUAAUGAUGGCCAGGCUGUCUCCACCCGAGACUCAGUGAAAUUGAACUCGCUGUGAAGAUGCAGUGUACCCGCGGCAAGACGGAAAGACCCCGUGAACCUUUACUAUAGCUUGACACUGAACAUUGAGCCUUGAUGUGUAGGAUAGGUGGGAGGCUUUGAAGUGUGGACGCCAGUCUGCAUGGAGCCGACCUUGAAAUACCACCCUUUAAUGUUUGAUGUUCUAACGUUGGCCCCUAAUCGGGGUUGCGGACAGUGUCUGGUGGGUAGUUUGACUGGGGCGGUCUCCUCCUAAAGAGUAACGGAGGAGCACGAAGGUUGGCUAAUCCUGGUCGGACAUCAGGAGGUUAGUGCAAUGGCAUAAGCCAGCUUGACUGCGAGCGUGACGGCGCGAGCAGGUGCGAAAGCAGGUCAUAGUGAUCCGGUGGUUCUGAAUGGAAGGGCCAUCGCUCAACGGAUAAAAGGUACUCCGGGGAUAACAGGCUGAUACCGCCCAAGAGUUCAUAUCGACGGCGGUGUUUGGCACCUCGAUGUCGGCUCAUCACAUCCUGGGGCUGAAGUAGGUCCCAAGGGUAUGGCUGUUCGCCAUUUAAAGUGGUACGCGAGCUGGGUUUAGAACGUCGUGAGACAGUUCGGUCCCUAUCUGCCGUGGGCGCUGGAGAACUGAGGGGGGCUGCUCCUAGUACGAGAGGACCGGAGUGGACGCAUCACUGGUGUUCGGGUUGUCAUGCCAAUGGCACUGCCCGGUAGCUAAAUGCGGAAGAGAUAAGUGCUGAAAGCAUCUAAGCACGAAACUUGCCCCGAGAUGAGUUCUCCCUGAGACUUAGAGUCUCCUGAAGGAACGUUGAAGACGACGACGUUGAUAGGCCGGGUGUGUAAGCGCAGCGAUGCGUUGAGCUAACCGGUACUAAUGAACCGUGAGGCUUAACC
RNAcentral lists this ribosomal RNA (2893 nucleotides) under Escherichia coli. RNAcentral's name for it is "bacterial LSU rRNA". It matches the Rfam family "Bacterial large subunit ribosomal RNA". The record is from RNAcentral. Lineage: Bacteria; Pseudomonadati; Pseudomonadota; Gammaproteobacteria; Enterobacterales; Enterobacteriaceae.